UGGAGGGACCCCCUGUAAUCAGGCGGGUGUCCCGCGGGGUCCCCCGGCCUCUCACGGGCGUGGGGCUGGGCGUGUGCCCUCCCUGCCCUCGGGGCCCAGCUCAGGGCCUUAGGCCACGAGCCCCAGUGCCUGGCCCUUGAGCCAGGUACUUGAUGCCGCGGGGGAAGGCCGAGCUCCGUGGCUCCCUGGGUGUGGACCCGCCUGUAAGCAGGGUCCGGGUCUGGGAGCCUUUGCGCUCCCUCAGCUGGCAGCCUGUGCGGGGCGACCGCCCCGUUAGCGGGGAGCGGGUCAGGUGCCCCCCGAAGCGGAGAGAAGGAGCCUCCGUAGGCCUUUGGGCCCAGGGCCCCCCUGUAAGUCGGGGUCAGUGCCCUGGUGUCCCAGGCCCUUUGUGGUCCAGGCAGCGGCCGGAGCCCCCUGUAAGCAGGGCGGCAGCCUCUUUGGCCGCUGCUUCGCGUGCCCAGCUGCCUUUGCCCAGAGGGCCCGGCUCCCCGCAGCGGGUGGGACUGCGCCGUGCGUCGCCGUGAAGCCGUCGGAGAAGAGAGCGGAAGAGGCGUCGCGCGGGACGGCAGCGCCGGCGCGGGAAGACGCCGCGGAGCCCUCCGAGAAGAAAGCAGAGCCGUGGAGCGGGACGGCGAGGCAAGAGCGAGGAAGAAGAGCGUCGGCUUCGCGCUCAAGAGGGGGCGGGAGAAAGGCCCUCUGGGCAAAGGCCCCUCCCUUGGCAUCCCCGGGGCAGGGAUCCCAAAGAGUCCGGCGGGCAGCUUCCGGCUGCGCCGGCCGGCUUGGCGCUGGGCGGACCUCCCUGUAAGCAGGGCUGGGUCCUUUGCUUUGCUUGGCGUUGGCCUUUUGCCAUCGCGCUCCUGUGGCUGCCCGGAGAGAGGGGCAACCGCCCUGUAAGGAGGGCGAGAGUGCCCGCCUCCGCGCCCGAGGGGGGACACGGAGCUCUCCCGACCCCCGGCCCGCCCGCCCCGUAAGCGGGGCAGGGCUUUUUCCCUUGGCACCUUUGGUGCCUGCUGGCGGCCCCUGGCCAGAGUGACCCCCCGUAGUCGGGGUGUGUCACGGCCUGUGUCCCUUGCCCCUCAGCACGCCGAGGCCCUUCUGGCCCGCGCGCAGCCCGGGGCCACUAACGGGCUUCUCUCCG
Pseudopipra pipra is the source of this 1138-nucleotide long non-coding RNA. RefSeq lists it as uncharacterized. The transcript is spliced from 3 exons. NCBI's taxonomy places the organism in Eukaryota, Metazoa, Chordata, Aves, Passeriformes, Pipridae. The record is from RefSeq and is a predicted model, not a curated record.